RNAcentral lists this ribosomal RNA (433 nucleotides) under uncultured bacterium. Its description in RNAcentral is "partial 16S ribosomal RNA". It matches the Rfam family "Bacterial small subunit ribosomal RNA", at positions 30 to 507 of the family's 1533-position model. The record is from RNAcentral.
AGCGAACGCUGGCGGCGGGCCUAACACAUGCAAGUCGAACGGAACCUUCGGGAUUGGUGGCGGACGGGGGAGUAAAACGUGGGAAAAUGCCCGUGGGAUCUGAACAAGUCAGGGAAACAUCAGCUAAUAACGGAGGUGACCACCGGGGGGAAGAUUUAUCGGCAUUGGAGCGGCCGGAGUCUGUUUAGCGAGGUGGUGGGGCAAGCGGCCACCAAGGCGGCUAGCAGGAGCGGGGCUGAGAGGAUGAUCAGCGACACUGGGACACAGACACGGCCCAGACUCGUGCGGGAGGCAGCAGUUGGGGAUCUUGCGGUAUGGGCGAGAGGCUGACGCAGCCAUGGCGGGUGGAUGAUGAAGGUGUUAUGAUUGUAUUAUUCUUUUAGCGGAGCUGUGUAUGACGGUACCCGCAGAAGAAGCUCCGGCUAACUUCGUG